AUUGAACGCUGGCGGCAUGCUUUACACAUGCAAGUCGAACGGUAACAGGUUAAGUUGACGAGUGGCGAACGGGUGAGUAAUGCAUCGGAACGUGCCCGGUCGUGGGGGAUAACGCAGCGAAAGCUGCGCUAAUACCGCAUACGAUCUGAGGAUGAAAGCGGGGGACCGUAAGGCCUCGCGCGAUCGGAGCGGCCGAUGUCAGAUUAGGUAGUUGGUGGGGUAAAGGCUCACCAAGCCAACGAUCUGUAGCUGGUCUGAGAGGACGACCAGCCACACUGGGACUGAGACACGGCCCAGACUCCUACGGGAGGCAGCAGUGGGGAAUUUUGGACAAUGGGCGAAAGCCUGAUCCAGCAAUGCCGCGUGCAGGAAGAAGGCCUUCGGGUUGUAAACUGCUUUUGUACGGAGCGAAAAGGCCUCCUCUAAUACAGGGGGCUCAUGACGGUACCGUAAGAAUAAGCACCGGCUAACUACGUGCCAGCAGCCGCAGUAA
Molecule: ribosomal RNA, 493 nt
Filed under: uncultured bacterium
Lineage: Bacteria
Description: partial 16S ribosomal RNA
Rfam family: Bacterial small subunit ribosomal RNA
Source: RNAcentral